ACACUUCCUUGGCAGAGGAGAUACCAUUAUCAUGAAGGUGAGUUUCCAGGAUGAGGCUUAUUCAUUGCACUCUGGAUAUGCCGAACCCUGCAUUUUCUCCAAAUGUGGACAGCUCGACUGCAUAAUUUGUGGUGGUAAGGGGCUGCAUUCACUUUCCCCUA
This is a small nuclear RNA of Suncus etruscus (white-toothed pygmy shrew), 161 nucleotides long. RefSeq annotates it as U1 spliceosomal RNA. The transcript has a single exon. The record is from RefSeq and is a predicted model, not a curated record. Lineage: Eukaryota; Metazoa; Chordata; Mammalia; Eulipotyphla; Soricidae.